GAACUGCGAUAAGUAAUGUGAAUUGCAGAAUUCAGUGAAUCAUCGAAUCUUUGAACGCACCUUGCGCUCCUUGGUAUUCCUUGGAGCAUGCCUGUUUGAGUAUCAUGAAAUCUUCAAAGUAAAUCUUUUGUUAACUCAAUUGGUUUCUACUUUGGUAUUGGAGGUCUUUGCAGCUUCACACCUGCUCCUCUUUGUUCAUUAGCUGGAUCUCAGUGUUAUGCUUGGUUCCACUCGGCGUGAUAAGUUAUCUAUCGCUGAGGACACUGUAAAAGGUGGCCAAGGUAAAUGCAGAUGAACCGCUUCUAAUAGUCCAUUGACUUGGACAAUACUUUUAUGAUCUGAUCUCAAAUCAGGUAGGACUACCCGCUGAACUUAAG
RNAcentral lists this unclassified non-coding RNA (377 nucleotides) under plant metagenome. RNAcentral's name for it is "partial contains 5.8S ribosomal RNA, internal transcribed spacer 2, and large subunit ribosomal RNA". The stretch from base 1 to 105 matches the Rfam family "5.8S ribosomal RNA", at positions 50 to 154 of the family's 154-position model. The record is from RNAcentral.